This 467-nucleotide ribosomal RNA is filed under the name uncultured bacterium. RNAcentral describes it as "partial 16S ribosomal RNA". It matches the Rfam family "Bacterial small subunit ribosomal RNA", at positions 28 to 507 of the family's 1533-position model. The record is from RNAcentral.
GACGAACGCUGGCGGCGUGCUUAACACAUGCGAGUCGAACGGAAAGGCCUGCUUUUGUGGGGUGCUCGGGGGGGGAACGGGGGAGGAACAAGGGAGGAACCUGCCCUUGGCUUUGGGGUAACUUCAGGGAACUGGGGCUAAUACCGGAUAGGAGCUCCUGGUGCCAGGGGGGGGGUGGGAAGUUUCGGCGGGUGGGGAUGGACUCGCGGCUUAUCAGCUUGUUGGUGGGGUAGUGGCUUACCAAGGCUUUGACGGGUAGCCGGCCUGAGAGGGUGACCGGCCACAUUGGGACUGAGAUACGGCCCAGACUCCUACGGGAGGCAGCAGUGGGGAAUAUUGCACAAUGGGCGGAAGCCUGAUGCAGCAACGCCGCGUGCGGGAUGACGGCCUUCGGGUUGUAAACCGCUUUCGCCUGUGACGAAGCGUGAGUGACGGUAAUGGGUAAAGAAGCACCGGCUAACUACGUG